Molecule: long non-coding RNA, 1492 nt
Organism: Heterocephalus glaber (naked mole-rat)
Lineage: Eukaryota; Metazoa; Chordata; Mammalia; Rodentia; Bathyergidae
Source: Ensembl
CAAAAACAAGCUGUGGUCUGGAUGUGGUCUGGAUGUGACCCAUGGGCCAUGGGUCAUAAGGAUAGUAAGUAUUCAUCUACUUGAAUCCUUCCCUGAUUCAUGCUCAGCCAUUUCUUGGGUGCUCCAGUAAAAUGGAACUUGCUAUCUCACUGGACAACGCAUUACAUCAUCAGAAAUUUAAAACUGUUCCGUGGUUGAUGUUAACCCAAAAGCAGAUCGUGAGGUGCCAGAGACGCAUUUGAGAAGUGAUCCCAUGAAGUCCAUGAGGGUGGGGAACCACCUACCAGAGAGGAGCGGGCGAGGAAUGCUGUGAUUUUCAAAGAGGAAACUUCAGCCAGAAAAAGGAGCAGAUGGCCCUGUAUCAGGCCUCCUGCAGGGUGAAUAUUUUGGAGGAGUCAGGGCUUUUCUGCGAUUUGUACCUGCCCUAUUAUGGUGGACCAUAGAAGACUUCACCAGACGUUGGUGUCAUGCUUUUAGACUUCCAGCCUCCAGAACCAGGAGCCAAAUAACCUUCUGCUAUUUAUAAGUUACCCAGUUUGUGAUGUUGUUUUUCUCUCUUGUUUGGAUUUUGAGACAGGGUCUCACUCUGUACUUCAGGCUGGCCUCAAACUGCUUGGGAUUACAGGCCUGGCUUGGCAUUCUUUUUAUAGCGGCAGAAAAUGGACAGAAGGAAAAUGAAGGUGGCUUUGUGACACAUCUGUAAGCCCAGCACAGAAUGAUUGUGAGUUUGAGGCCAGCCUGGGCAAGUUCAAGGCCAGCGUGGACUAAAUAGUGAGACUUUGUCUCAAAAAAGAAAAAAAUAAAUAAAAUGAAGGUGAGCAAAACUGAAGAUGUUUGCUGUAAAUGCUUAGUAAGUCUUAAUGCAUUAUUGAAGUUCAUAAAAUGAUAACUCCCUUCAGCUAUCUCAUGUGGCAAUUUUUAUUCCUUUUCAAAUAAGUUGUAUAUGUUUGAUCUUAUGGAGCUUUGUAACAUUCCUAUGAGGUAGACAGAAGUACAAGUGUUACCUUUCCAUUUUACAGAUGAGGAAAUCAAAGCACAGAGCUGUCACACAGCAGGGAGGUAUGGCUUUGCCUACAGUCACACAGAGCUGUAGCUGGUUCAGAAUUCACUGGCAGAGCCACUGUGAAUGGAAACUGGAAUAUGCAGGGUAUGGGUUAAUCAAGGCCUGACAUGGGGUUUGAAUCAGUUGCCAGGGUUUGUCCCUGAGCAAACAGUCUGUGCUGGUAGCAGUCCGGCAUGUCAAGGACCCAUUGUUGAUGUCCUGGCAGGUGGCAAGGGAAAGAACUGGUACAUAGGCAGGACAUUCUCACCCCAGGAACACCCUCUCAUGACUGAUUCCCUUUACAUCAACCAGCUGGAUACAAGACUUGGUUUUUCCUGUCCCAGAAAAAAAUGCCAAUCAAAACAACAAAAAAAGAGAGGGAGGCGGGCUGACUUCUCUCAAGGGAACUUGGUCCUAGAGCCAGGAGUAUCUCUGCCAGGAUGAGAGGGG